RNAcentral lists this ribosomal RNA (464 nucleotides) under uncultured bacterium. RNAcentral describes it as "partial 16S ribosomal RNA". It matches the Rfam family "Bacterial small subunit ribosomal RNA", at positions 28 to 506 of the family's 1533-position model. The record is from RNAcentral.
GAUGAACGCUGGCGGCGUGCUUAACACAUGCAAGUCGAACGGAAAGGCUCCUGCUUGCAGGGGUACUCGAGUGGCGAACGGGUGAGUAACACGUGGGUGAUCUGCCCUGCACUUCGGGAUAAGCCUGGGAAACUGGGUCUAAUACCGGAUAGGACCACAUUUUGGAUGGUGUGGUGGAAAGUUUUUCGGUGUGGGAUGAGCUCGCGGCCUAUCAGCUUGUUGGUGGGGUAAUGGCCUACCAAGGCGUCGACGGGUAGCCGGCCUGAGAGGGUGUACGGCCACAUUGGGACUGAGAUACGGCCCAGACUCCUACGGGAGGCAGCAGUGGGGAAUAUUGCACAAUGGGCGCAAGCCUGAUGCAGCGACGCCGCGUGGGGGAUGACGGCCUUCGGGUGGUAAACUCCUUUCGCUAGGGACGAAGCGAAAGUGACGGUACCUGGAGAAGAAGCACCGGCUAACUACGU